AUUGAACGCUGGCGGCAUGCCUUACACAUGCAAGUCGAACGGCAGCACGGGAGCAAUCCUGGUGGCGAGUGGCGAACGGGUGAGUAAUAUAUCGGAACGUGCCCAGUCGUGGGGGAUAACGUAGCGAAAGCUACGCUAAUACCGCAUACGAUCUACGGAUGAAAGCGGGGGAUCGCAAGACCUCGCGCGAUUGGAGCGGCCGAUAUCAGAUUAGCUAGUUGGUGGGGUAAAAGCUCACCAAGGCGACGAUCUGUAGCUGGUCUGAGAGGACGACCAGCCACACUGGAACUGAGACACGGUCCAGACUCCUACGGGAGGCAGCAGUGGGGAAUUUUGGACAAUGGGCGAAAGCCUGAUCCAGCAAUGCCGCGUGCAGGACGAAGGCCUCGGUUGUAACGUAGCUUUG
Molecule: ribosomal RNA, 406 nt
Filed under: uncultured bacterium
Lineage: Bacteria
Description: bacterial SSU rRNA
Rfam family: Bacterial small subunit ribosomal RNA
Source: RNAcentral